UACGUAGGUGGCAAGCGUUGUCCGGAUUUACUGGGCGUAAAGCGCGCGCAGGCGGGCUGAUUAGUCCGGGGUGAAAUCUCACGGCUCAACCGUGAGUGGUCCCCGGAUACUGUCAGUCUUGAGGUGUCUAGAGGAGAGCGGAAUUCCCGGUGUAGUGGUGGAAUGCGUAGAUAUCGGGAAGAACACCAGUGGCGAAAGCGGCUCUCUGGGGACCACCUGACGCUGAGGCGCGAAAGCGUGGGGAGCGAACCGG
RNAcentral lists this ribosomal RNA (253 nucleotides) under uncultured bacterium. RNAcentral's name for it is "partial 16S ribosomal RNA". It matches the Rfam family "Bacterial small subunit ribosomal RNA", at positions 524 to 776 of the family's 1533-position model. The record is from RNAcentral.